GACGAACGCUGGCGGCGUGCUUAACACAUGCAAGUCGAACGGACAGGCCCUGCUUUUGCGGGGUGCUCGAGUGGCGAACGGGUGAGUAACACGUGAGUAACCUGCACUUGACUUUGGGAUAACUUCAGGAAACUGGGGCUAAUACCGGAUAGGAGAUCCUGCUGCACGGGGGGGGUUGGAGAGAUUCGGCGGUUGGGGAUGGAAUCGCGGCUUAUCCGCUUGUUGGUGGGGUAGUGGCUGACCAAGGCUUUGACGGGUAGCCGGCCUGAGAGGGUGACCGGCCACAAUGGGACUGAGAUACGGCCCAGACGCCUACGGGAGGCAGCAGUGGGGAAUAUGGCACAGUGGGCGGAAGCCUGAUGCAGCAACGCCGCGUGCGGGAUGACGGCCUUCGGGUUGUAAACCGCUUUCGCCUGUGACGAAGCGUGAGUGACGGUAAUGGGUAAAAAAGCACCGGCUAACUACGUG
RNAcentral lists this ribosomal RNA (468 nucleotides) under uncultured bacterium. RNAcentral describes it as "partial 16S ribosomal RNA". It matches the Rfam family "Bacterial small subunit ribosomal RNA", at positions 28 to 507 of the family's 1533-position model. The record is from RNAcentral.